CACCACCCCGCCUCCCCCGUCCCCCUGCUCGGCCCCGGCACCUCUCUGUGCGUGGGCGGCGCGGGUUGGGCCUUCUUGUUGGCAGCGCAGGUGGGCAGAGCAGGUCUUCUGCUGCACCGCGAUCCGGGAAGGCACCGUGGCGGCCUGGUGCCUGAGACAUACACGCGCACAUCUGGAGAGGUGAAGGGAUAUUGGAAGAGAUUCUAGAAGCGUGACUAUUUAAGAGAAAUCUUUUAAUGUCUGCACCAUGAUAGGUCCUGGAGGUGCCUUGGGGUGGGGCUUUGGGAGAGGUGGUUAACAGGAAGCUUUGGAUAUUAAGGAACGAAAGAAAAGGUAAGAUCACUCACAAUUCAACAAUUCAAGAUAAAAUCCUGAAUGUCUCUAUGGCUACUUAAUACCCAGAAGCUAGGCCCUCACCUCUAUCAAGGCUACAGGCCUAUGGGUACCAGUGAGAUUUGUAUUGUAAAAAUUGGUAAAGGGAAACCUCACAGACAUGAUGUCUGGAGGCCUGCAGGGGGUGCUCCCAUGCCCAUCACUCCCGGUCAAUUGCAGACCCCCCAAGGAAGAGGACCCUUUGCAACUCUACUGUUUUGGCUACUUCACCACCCAGGAGGAGGAGGCAAGAGUUUCUGCCUCCAGCAAUACCUCAACUAAUGAGCAACUGUUACACAGCACAUGGGACUACCAGUUUCCUCCAAUGGACUUUUUGCUUAGAACACUCCCCAUUCUCUUUUGUAAGAGCCUCCUCUCUCUUCUCUAGACUGCCUAUGGCUUUGCAAUAGCUUGCUUCUCUUGAAUUGCAAUUCUCUUCUUUUCCUGAAUAGACCCAUUUUUCUGGUAAAAUAACUGACAGCUUUAUUUUUAUUUUUUUUAUUGAAGUAUCAUCAAUAAACAAUCUUAUAAUGGUUUCAAAUGUACAACACAGUGGUUCAGCAGUUACCCAUAUUAAAUCCUCACCCCCUCUAGUGUGGUUACUAUUUAUCAACGUAGAAAAAUGUUACAGAAUCAUUGACUAUAAUCUCCAUGCUAUAUACUACAUCCCUGUGACCAAACUUAUAUUGUGAUUGUGAAUUAUUGUGCCCCUUUAUCCCCCUCCCCUUCCCCUAUCACCCGUGUCAACCCCUCCCCUUAGUAACCACUACUGACUUCUUAGUGUCUAUCAGUCUAAUAUCAUUUUGUUCUUUCUGUUUUACCUUGUUUUUAUAUUCCACAAAUAAGUGAAGUCACGUGGUAUUUGUCUUUCUCUGCCUGGCUUAUUUCACUGAGCAUAAUGUUCUCUAGCUCUAUGCAUGUUGUGGCAAAUGGAAGGAUUUCUUUUCUUUUUAUGGCUGAAUAAUAUGCCACUGUGUAUAUGAACCACAUCUUCUUCAUCUUUUAUUCAUCUACUGAUGGACACUUAGGUUGCUUCUGUAUUUUGGUAUGGCAAAUAGUGCGGUGAUAAACAGGGGUGAAUAUGUAUUUUCAAAUCAGGGGUUUUGUUCUCUUUGGGUAAAUUCCUAUAAGUGGGAUUACUGGGUCAAAUGGUGUUUCUAUUUUUAGUUUCUUGAGGAACCUCCAUAUUGUUUCCCACGGUGGUUGCACCAAUUUACUCUGCCACCCACAGUGUAGGAGGGUUCCCAUUUCUCCACAUCCUGCCAGCAUUUGUCAUUUCUUGUUCAUUUUGACUAGUGUAAGGUCAUAUCUCAUUGUGGCUUUGACUUGCAUUUCCCUGAUGAUUAGCGAUGUGGAGCAUCUUUUCAUGUGCUGGUUGGCUCUUUGUAUUUCCUCUUUGGAGAAAUGUCUGUUCAGAUCCGCCACUCAUUUUUUAAUCAGGUUAUUUGUUUUUUGUUUAUUGAGGCAUAUGAGUUCUUUAUAUACUUUGCAUGUUAACCCUUAAUCAGAUGAAUCUUUUAUGAAUUUGUUCUCACAUACUGUAGUUUGCCUUUUUGUUCUGCAGGUGGUUUCCUUUGGUGUAAUCCCACUUGUUCAUUUUUUAUUUUGUUUCCCAUGCCCAAGAAUAAGUGUCCAGGAAAAAAUUGCUCAUGCUUAUGUUCAAGAGAUUUUUGCCUAUGGUUUCUUCUAAGAGUUUUAUGGUUUCUUGACUUAGAUUCAUGACUUUGAUCCAUUUUGAGUUUACUUUUGUGUAUGGAGUUAGACAAUAGUCCACUUUCAUUCUUUUGCAUGUAGCUGUCCAGUUUUCCCAACAGCAGUUGUUGAAGAGGCUGUUUUUCCCCCCCAUUGUAUAUUCAUGGCUCCUUUAUCCCAUAUAAUUAACCAAGUAUAGGUAGGUUUAUAUCUGGGCUCUCUAUUCUGUUCCAUUGAUCUUUUGUUGUGCCAGUACCAAACUGUUUUGAUUACUGUAGCUUUGUAGUAGAGUUUGAAGUUGGGGAGUGUAAUAACCCCAAGUGUUCCUGUUUCUAAGGAUUGCUUUGGCUAUUUAUGGUCUUUUGUGGUUCCAUAUGAGUUUUAGAACUAUUUGUUCUCUUUGAUUUAAAAGUGCUGUUGGUAUUUUGAUAGGAAUUGCAUUUAAUCUGUAAAUUGCUUUGGGAAGGAUGAUCAUUUUGACAAUAUUAAUUCUUCCUAUCCAUGAGCACAGGGUAGGUUUCCAUUUAUUGCUGUCUUCUUUAAAUUUCUCUCAUGAGUGUCAUACAGAUUUCAAAGUACAGAUCUUUCACCUCCUUGGUUAGGUUCCUAGUUAUUCUUUUUCAUGUACUUGUAAAUGGAGUUGUUUUCCUAUUUCUCUUUCUGGUAGUUCAUUGUUAGUAUGUAGGAAAGCACAGAUUUGUGUGUAUUAAUUUUGUGUCCUGCAACCUUUGCUGAAUUCAGUUAUUAGUUCUAGUAAUUUUUUGGUAGAGUCUUUAGGGUUUUCUCUGUAUAAUAUCACAUUGUUAUUGGCCACAAUGCUGGUUUUCCAAGGAUCAUAUCUUGGAGGCAAUGAAGAAUGAAGCCAGCAGACAAAGAGCAUGGAGCAACCAGCAAAGCGCUUUUAAUGAGUGAAAAGAGAAAGUUCCUGCUAAUAAGGAGGGGCUGGAAGAGAAGAUGCCCUCAGGGCUGUGGUGUCUGGGAUUUAUAUUGCCUCCUGCUAGGAUGAAGUCCUACUCCCCACCUCCAAUCCACAUAGAGAACUGAACUAAUGACAUCACAGCUUAUUCCUGAUUGGGUAAAAGCACAAUGCUUAAUUUGCAUAGGACAUAACCAGACCAGCUGAGCUCUAACAGUAUACUUUUGGAUGGCUGAAUUUUAUCUGCAUAGGCAUAACCAAUCAGAGCAGCUGAGGUCUAACUGGCUAAGUUGGACUGGGGCUUUUUUUUUUUGGAAACUUACAAGGGCCCUGAACUUUGUCUUCUUGUGUCCUAUUAUCACCUGCCUCAGUGUCAUCUGCAAAGAGUUACAGUUUAGCUUCUUCCUUACCAAUUUGUGUGCCUUUUAAAAUUGUUUUGUCUGAUUGCUGUGGCUAGACCCUCCAGUACUAUGUUGAAUAAAUGUGGUGAUAGUUGG
Molecule: long non-coding RNA, 3477 nt
Organism: Manis pentadactyla (Chinese pangolin)
Lineage: Eukaryota; Metazoa; Chordata; Mammalia; Pholidota; Manidae
Exons: 2
Source: RefSeq, a predicted model, not a curated record